GAUGAACGCUGGCGGCGUGCCUAAUACAUGCCAGUCGAGCGAGCAGACGAGGAGCUUGCUCCUCUGACGUUAGCGGCGGACGGGUGAGUAACACGUGGAUAACCUACCUAUAAGACUGGGAUAACUUCGGGAAACCGGAGCUAAUACCGGAUAAUAUAUUGAACCGCAUGGUUCAAUAGUGAAAGACGGUUUUGCUGUCACUUAUAGAUGGAUCCGCGCCGCAUUAGCUAGUUGGUAAGGUAACGGCUUACCAAGGCAACGAUGCGUAGCCGACCUGAGAGGGUGAUCGGCCACACUGGAACUGAGACACGGUCCAGACUCCUACGGGAGGCAGCAGUAGGGAAUCUUCCGCAAUGGGCGAAAGCCUGACGGAGCAACGCCGCGUGAGUGAUGAAGGUCUUCGGAUCGUAAAACUCUGUUAUUAGGGAAGAACAAAUGUGUAAGUAACUAUGCACGUCUUGACGGUACCUAAUCAGAAAGCCACGGCUAACUACGUG
RNAcentral lists this ribosomal RNA (497 nucleotides) under uncultured bacterium. RNAcentral describes it as "partial 16S ribosomal RNA". It matches the Rfam family "Bacterial small subunit ribosomal RNA", at positions 28 to 507 of the family's 1533-position model. The record is from RNAcentral.